This 71-nucleotide transfer RNA is filed under the name Marmota monax (woodchuck). RNAcentral's name for it is "tRNA.Thr". It matches the Rfam family "tRNA". Rfam says of the family: Transfer RNA (tRNA) molecules are approximately 80 nucleotides in length. Their secondary structure includes four short double-helical elements and three loops (D, anti-codon, and T loops). Further hydrogen bonds mediate the characteristic L-shaped molecular structure. tRNAs have two regions of fundamental functional importance: the anti-codon, which is responsible for specific mRNA codon recognition, and the 3' end, to which the tRNAs corresponding amino acid is attached (by aminoacyl-tRNA synthetases). tRNAs cope with the degeneracy of the genetic code in two manners: having more than one tRNA (with a specific anti-codon) for a particular amino acid; and 'wobble' base-pairing, i.e. permitting non-standard base-pairing at the 3rd anti-codon position. The record is from RNAcentral. Lineage: Eukaryota; Metazoa; Chordata; Mammalia; Rodentia; Sciuridae.
GGGGCUGUAGCUCAGUGGUAAAGUGCUUGCCUAGUAUGCAUGAGGCACUGGGUUCAAUCCUCAGCACCACA